AGGCUCCGAUGGCGUCUACGAGAAAAGAUGCCAGCCGGCGGCGGAAUGUUGGGGAACCGGAAAGCAUCUAGCGACUCGUGCUGCGCUGCGGCGUUUCUGUCGGGGGAGGCGGGGUCUGAAGCAGACUCACAGCCAGAGAGUAACCAGAGCCAUCCACCCUGCCUGUGAGGGCUCCUCACUACAGUCUACCAGAACCUGACUCAUCCUGCCAAAGCCUAAGUCGGUGGCCUGGGUCUCAGCAGGGUUGGACAAGGCAUGUGAUGCUAGGCAAGUCAGUGCCCUGUCUGAGCCUCAGAUCCCGAAAACAAAGAGUUUAGACACAAUCUAAGUUUGGACCUGCUGAUGCCACUCAUGGGAAAGAGCCCAGCCUGGUGAGGAACAAGGGGUCAGAGGCUGGUGAGGAGGAAAGUGAGUCGGAGACAUGGAAACAUCUCCCCGGCAGCUAAGGCAAAGAAGCUCCUACCUCUGGAACUGGGCCCUGCAAUAUCUGGCCAGGUGACUGAGGAGUGCCAGGCUUGGGGGCUCAGUGUCUGCAGA
Long non-coding RNA from Dama dama (fallow deer), 537 nucleotides. RefSeq lists it as uncharacterized. The record is from RefSeq and is a predicted model, not a curated record. NCBI's taxonomy places the organism in Eukaryota, Metazoa, Chordata, Mammalia, Artiodactyla, Cervidae. The transcript is spliced from 3 exons.